Molecule: ribosomal RNA, 560 nt
Filed under: Duttaphrynus melanostictus (Asian common toad)
Lineage: Eukaryota; Metazoa; Chordata; Amphibia; Anura; Bufonidae
Description: partial large subunit ribosomal RNA
Rfam family: Bacterial large subunit ribosomal RNA
Source: RNAcentral
GUCAGCCUGCCAGUGACCCUGUUCAACGGCCGCGGUAUCCUAACCGUGCGAAGGUAGCGUAAUCACUUGUUCUUUAAAUGUGGACUAGUAUGAACGGCAUCACGAAGGUUAUACUGUCUCCUUUUUCUAAUCAGUGAAACUAAUCUCCCCGUGAAGAAGCGAGGAUGAGAAUAUAAGACGAGAAGACCCUAUGGAGCUUUAAACAAAGUAGCACUCGCCACACAAAUAAGAAAUUCCAGAAUCAUCAUCUACUUCAGGCAAUCUGACUACACGUUUUUGGUUGGGGUGACCGCGGAGCAUAAUACAACCUCCAUGUUGAAAGAAAGCUUUCUAAACUAAGAAUUACACCUCUAAGUAUCAAAAAAUUGACAUCCAUUGACCCAAUAAAUUUGAACAACGAACCAAGUUACCCUAGGGAUAACAGCGCAAUCCACUUCAAGAGCCCCUAUCGACAAGUGGGUUUACGACCUCGAUGUUGGAUCAGGGUCUCCCAGUGGUGCAGCCGCUACUAAAGGUUCGUUUGUUCAACGAUUAAAACCCUACGUGAUCUGAGUUCAAAA